Long non-coding RNA from Oncorhynchus keta (chum salmon), 1292 nucleotides. RefSeq lists it as uncharacterized. The record is from RefSeq and is a predicted model, not a curated record. NCBI's taxonomy places the organism in Eukaryota, Metazoa, Chordata, Actinopteri, Salmoniformes, Salmonidae. The transcript is spliced from 3 exons.
GAGGUGAAAAGAGGAGGGACGGAGCGAGGGAGAGGUGAGGAGAGGAGGGACGGAGCGAGGGAGAGGUGAAAAGAGGAGGGACGGAGCGAGGGAGAGGUGAGGAGAGGAGGGACGGAGCGAGGGAGAGGUGAAAAGAGGAGGGACGGAGCGAGGGAGAGGUGAGGAGAGGAGGGACGGAGCGAGGGAGAGGUGAAAAGAGGAGGGACGGAGCGAGGGAGAGGUGAGGAGAGGAGGGACGGAGCGAGGGAGAGGUGAAAAGAGGAGGGACGGAGCGAGGGAGAGGUGAGGAGAGGAGGGACGGAGCGAGGGAGAGGUGAAAAGAGGAGGGACGGAGCGAGGGAGAGGUGAGGAGAGGAGGGACGGAGCGAGGGAGAGGUGAAAAGAGGAGGGACGGAGCGAGGGAGAGGUGAGGAGAGGAGGGACGGAGCGAGGGAGAGGUGAAAAGAGGAGGGACGGAGCGAGGGAGAGGUGGGGAGAGGAGGGACGGAGCGAGGGAGAGGUGAGGAGAGGAGGGACGGAGCGAGGGAGAGGUGAGGAGAGGAGGGACGGAGUGAGGGAGGGGUGAAGAGAGGAGGGACAGAGCGAGGGAGAGGUGAAGAGAGGAGGGACGGAGCGAGGGAGAGGUGAAGAGAGGAGGGACGGAGUGAGGGAGGUGUGAAGAGAGGAGGGACAGAGCGAGGGAGAGGUGAAGAGAGGAGGGACGGAGCGAGGGAGAGGUGAAGAGAGGAGGGACGGAGCGAGGGAGAGGUGGGGAGAGGAGGGACGGAGUGAGGGAGAGGUGAAGAGAGGAGGGACGGAGCGAAGGAGAGGUGGGGAGAGGAGGGACGGAGCAAGGGAGAGGUGAGGAGAGGUGGGACGGAGUGAGGGAGAGGUGAGUAGAUGAGCGAGAGGUGAGAGGUGAAGAGGGAGGACAGAAGAUUAGAGAGGGAGAGAGGAGAGGGAGGACAGAAGAUUAGAGAGGGAGAGAGGAGAGGGAGGACAGAAGAUUAGAGAGGGAGAGAGGAGAGGGAGGACAGAAGAUUAGAGAGGGAGAGAGGAGAGGGAGGACAGAAGAUUAGAGAGGGAGAGAGGAGAGGGAGGACAGAAGAUUAGAGAGGGAGAGAGGAGAGGGAGGACAGAAGAUUAGAGAGGGAGAGAGGAGAGGGAAGGAAAGAUGAGGAGAUGGAACAAAGACAGAAGUGAAGAAAUGAGAAAAGAAACAGAAGAGAUCAUAAAAGAAAGGCGAUUUGAGGACUAUAAGUUUAGAAUGAGAGCUAUCUCCAUCAUCUCAGCAAUGUAGUUACAUAUCCCCA